AAUAGAUACCCGGGUAGUCCACGCCGUAAACGAUGAGUGCUAAGUGUUAGAGGGUUUCCGCCCUUUAGUGCUGAAGUUAACGCAUUAAGCACUCCGCCUGGGGAGUACGGCCGCAAGGCUGAAACUCAAAGGAAUUGACGGGGGCCCGCACAAGCGGUGGAGCAUGUGGUUUAAUUCGAAGCAACGCGAAGAACCUUACCAGGUCUUGACAUCCUCUGACAACCCUAGAGAUAGGGCUCCUCCUUCGGGAGCAGAGUGACAGGUGGUGCAUGGUUGUCGUCAGCUCGUGUCGUGAGAUGUUGGGUUAAGUCCCGCAACGAGCGCAACCCUUGAUCUUAGUUGCCAUCAUUAAGUUGGGCACUCUAAGGUGACUGCCGGUGACAAACCGGAGGAAGGUGGGGAUGACGUCAAAUCAUCAUGCCCCUUAUGACCUGGGCUACACACGUGCUACAAUGGACGGUACAAAGAGCUGCAAGACCGCGAGGUGGAGCUAAUCUCAUAAAACCGUUCUCAGUUCGGAUUGUAGGCUGCAACG
Molecule: ribosomal RNA, 535 nt
Filed under: uncultured bacterium
Lineage: Bacteria
Description: bacterial SSU rRNA
Rfam family: Bacterial small subunit ribosomal RNA
Source: RNAcentral